GCCAGCGGUUGGUGGGGCCAGAGACAAAAGUUGGCAAGAGCCUUUGUUGCAGCUGUGCAAGAGGGAGAGCUUCUAGGUGUUCGACAUGCAUCUCUGCGUCCAGGCAGGCAAGAGGAUGCUUCCAGACAACCAGUUCAACGAUGCUACGCCAAAGCAAGAACUGCUCCACGGUUUCCGGCGCAUUUCCCAGUCACUUCCCUUACAGCAAACAGCCCACUCCCUGGAGGAAGGAAGCAGGUUUGUUGCAGCAGAGUGCCCAACCAGCCGGAAUUGUGCCACCUCAAUAUGUCAAGUAUGCUGCUGAAUCCCGUCCAAAAAUAGCAGCAGUCCGGAAGCACCCUGAGGAAGCCUUGUCCACGCACCACAGAAUCCCCGCAGGACAUUUUGCUGCCUGGGGUGGAGCAGCAAAUGCCUCCUUUCCCUCCAUCCACGGUCAAGUUGUAUAGUCUUCCCCUCAACGUGCACAGAAACUGGCUUUGAAAGGAGCAUCUUCUCUCAGAUACGGAGCAAAGAGAUUCCACAGCUAUUCCACCUGCCUGCUCUUCCCAAAAGAGUCCCCCUGUAGACCUAGCAGAUCCCGUCCUAAAGUCCCAAGAUGUGCUCACAGAUGAUCACAAAGCAACAGAUUUGGCUCAUUUUCACGGUUUCUACAUUUUUAAAUCUUUCCCAAGCAGGAAAGUACACACAGCUUUUGAUUUCCCUCCUUGCUUUGGGGG
Zootoca vivipara (common lizard) is the source of this 716-nucleotide non-coding RNA. The record is from RefSeq and is a predicted model, not a curated record. Lineage: Eukaryota; Metazoa; Chordata; Lepidosauria; Squamata; Lacertidae.